RNAcentral lists this ribosomal RNA (168 nucleotides) under Gadus chalcogrammus (walleye pollock). Its description in RNAcentral is "partial small subunit ribosomal RNA". The record is from RNAcentral. Lineage: Eukaryota; Metazoa; Chordata; Actinopteri; Gadiformes; Gadidae.
ACCGCGGUUAUACGAGAGGCCCAAAUUGAUGAAAAACGGCGUAAAGCGUGGUUAAGAAAAAAAGAGAAAAUAUGGCCGAACAGCUUCAAAGCAGUUAUACGCAUCCGAAGUCACGAAGAACAAUCACGAAAGUUGCCCUAAAACCUCCGAUUCCACGAAAGCCAUAAA